GAAGAGUAUCGCCCCCGGUGGGGUGCCCGGACUUCAAACCCGGUGAGGCCUGUUAACGACAGGCCUGGUGGGUUCGACUCCUGCCUCUU
RNAcentral lists this transfer RNA (89 nucleotides) under marine eukaryotic metagenome. RNAcentral's name for it is "Selenocysteine transfer RNA". It matches the Rfam family "Selenocysteine transfer RNA". The record is from RNAcentral.